Molecule: ribosomal RNA, 21 nt
Filed under: Ballistosporomyces xanthus
Lineage: Eukaryota; Fungi; Basidiomycota; Agaricostilbomycetes; Agaricostilbales; Chionosphaeraceae
Also listed under: 2 other names
Description: partial 26S rRNA
Source: RNAcentral
UUGACCUCAAAUCAAGUAGGA